GAAAAGAAACCAACAGGGAUUGCCCUAGUAACGGCGAGUGAAGCGGCAACAGCUCAAAUUUGAAAUCUGGCUUCGGCCCGAGUUGUAAUUUGCAGAGGAUGUUUCUGGCGCGGUGCCUUCCGAGUUCCCUGGAACGGGACGCCACAGAGGGUGAGAGCCCCGUAUGGUUGGACACCAAGCCUGUGUGAAACUCCUUCGACGAGUCGAGUAGUUUGGGAAUGCUGCUCAAAAUGGGAGGUAAAUCUCUUCUAAAGCUAAAUACCGGCCAGAGACCGAUAGCGCACAAGUAGAGUGAUCGAAAGAUGAAAAGCACCUUGAAAAGGGGGUUAAACAGUACGUGAAAUUGUUGAAAGGGAAGCGCUUGUGACCAGACUUGCGCCGGGCGGUUCAUCCGGGGUUCUCCCCGGUGCACUCCGCCCGGCUCAGGCCAGCAUCGGUUCUCGUUGGGGGAUAAGAACGGCAGGAACGUGGCCCUCCUUCGGGUGGGUGUUAUAGCCUGCCGUACGAUACCCUGACGGGGACCGAGGUUCGCGCUCCGCAAGGAUGCUGGCGUAAUGGUCAUCAGCGACCCGUCUUGAAACACGGACCAAGGAGUCGUCCAUUAGAGCGAGCGUUUGGGUGUCAAACCCGCACGCGUAAUGAAAGUGAAAUUAGGUGAGAGCUUCGGCGCAUCAUCGACCGAUCCUGAUGUUCUCGGAUGGAUUUGAGUAAGAGUUUUAACGGACGGACCCGAAAGACAGUGAACUAUGCUUGUAUAGGGUGAAGCCAGAGGAAACUCUGGUGGAGGCUCGCAGCGGUUCUGACGUGCAAAUCGAUCGUCAAAUAUGAGCAUGGGGGCGAAAGACUAAUCGAACUGUCUAGUAGCUGGUUACCGCCGAAGUUUCCCUCAGGAUAGCAGUGUUGACCUUCAGUUUUAUGAGGUAAAGCGAAUGAUUAGGGACUCGGGGGCGCUUUUUAGCCUUCAUCCAUUCUCAAACUUUAAAUAUGUAAGAAGCCCUUGUUACUUAGUUGAACGUGGGCAUUCGAAUGUAUCAACACUAGUGGGCCAUUUUUGGUAAGCAGAACUGGCGAUGCGGGAUGAACCGAACGCGGGGUUAAGGCGCCAGAGUGUACGCUCAUCAGACACCACAAAAGGCGUUAGUACAUCUUGACAGCAGGACGGUGGCCAUGGAAGUCGGAAUCCGCUAAGGACUGUGUAACAACUCACCUGCCGAAUGUACUAGCCCUGAAAAUGGAUGGCGCUCAAGCGUACCGCCCAUACCCCGCCCUCAGGGUAGAAACGAUGCCCUGAGGAGUAGGCGGCCGUGGAGGUCAGUGACGAAGCCUAGGGCGUGAGCCCGGGUCG
This 1345-nucleotide ribosomal RNA is filed under the name Cryphonectria citrina. Its description in RNAcentral is "eukaryotic LSU rRNA". It matches the Rfam family "Eukaryotic large subunit ribosomal RNA", at positions 56 to 1430 of the family's 3401-position model. Lineage: Eukaryota; Fungi; Ascomycota; Sordariomycetes; Diaporthales; Cryphonectriaceae. The record is from RNAcentral.